UCAAGUGACUAAGUGCAUGUGGCGGAUGCCUUGGCGAUCACAGGCGAAGAAAGACGCGGCAGCCUGCGAAAAGCUGCGGGGAGCUGGCAAACGAGCUUUGAUCCGCAGAUAUCUGAAUGGGGGAACCCACACCGCAAGGUGUAUCCGUAGCUCAAUACAUAGGUUACGGAGGCGAACGAGGAGAACUGAAACAUCUAAGUAUCCUCAGGAAAAGAAAUCAACCGAGAUUCCGGCAGUAGCGGCGAGCGAACCCGGAGGAGCCCAGCUUUUGAUAGUACGAACUUUAGCCGAAAGGUCCUGGAAAGGCCUGCUAUAGUGGGUGAUAGCCCCGUAGGCGAAAGAGUUGGUACGGUACUAAGGAAGCGAGAAGUAGAGCGGGACACGUGGAAUCCUGUUCGAAGACGGGGGGACCAUCCUCCAAGGCUAAAUACUCGUGAUCGACCGAUAGUGAACCAGUACCGUGAGGGAAAGGCGAAAAGAACCCCGGGAGGGGAGUGAAAUAGAACCUGAAACCGCAUGCAUACAAACAGUAGGAGCCUCGUCAGAGGUGACUGCGUACCUUUUGCAUAAUGGGUCAGCGACUUACAUUCUGUGGCGAGCUUAACCGAAUAGGGGAGGCGCAGCGAAAGCGAGUUCGAAAUGAGCGUUCAGUCGCAGGGUGUAGACCCGAAACCAGAUGAGCUAUCCAUGGCCAGGUUGAAGGUGUGGUAACACACACUGGAGGACCGAACCGACUAGUGUUGCAAAAUUAGCGGAUGAGCUGUGGAUAGGGGUGAAAGGCCAAACAAAUCUGGAGAUAGCUGGUUCUCCCCGAAAACUAUUGAGGUAGUGCCUCGUGUGUCGCUCCAGGGGGUAGAGCACUGUUUUGGCUAGGGGGACAUGGAGUCUUACCAAACCAAGGCAAACUCCGAAUACCUGGAAGCGUAAGCACGGGAGACAGAGCACCGGGUGCUAACGUCCGGACUCAAAAGGGAAACAACCCAGACCGCCGGCUAAGGUCCCAAAUAACAGCUAAGUGGAAAACGAAGUGGAAAGGCCGUGACAACCAGGAAGUUGGCUUAGAAGCAGCCAUCCUUCAAAGAAAGCGUAAUAGCUCACUGGUCGAGUCCUUCUGCGCGGAAGAUGUAACGGGGCUAAGCUGUUAACCGAAGCCGCGGAUGCACUGGUUAUCCAGUGCGUGGUAGGGGAGCGUUCUGUAAGUCUGCGAAGGCGGUUCGAGAGGACUGCUGGAGAUAUCAGAAGUGCGAAUGCUGACAUGAGUAACGUUAAAGCAGGUGAAAAGCCUGCUCGCCGUAAGCCCAAGGAUUCCUGCUCUACGUUCAUCGGAGCAGGGUGAGUCGGCUCCUAAGGUCAGGCCGAAAGGCGUAGCCGAUGGGAAUCAGGUUAAUAUUCCUGAACCUGCGUCAGAUGCGAUGGGGGGACGGAGCAUGGAAGAUCAUCCGGGUGUUGGAAGUCCCGGUUGUUUAGCGUAGGAGGUCUGCAGGCAAAUCCGCAGACGCAUCUCCAAGGCAAAGACACGUGCCGCCACGGCGGCGAAGUGAUCGGAAGUGCUUCCAAGAAAAGCCUCUAAGCCCCAGUCUGAUGCGGACCGUACCGCAAACCGACACUGGUGGGCGAGCUGAAUAUGCUCAGGCGCUUGAGAGAACUCGGGAGAAGGAACUCGGCAAAUUGACACCGUAACUUCGGAAGAAGGUGUGCCGUAGUACCGUGAGAGGAGAGACACCUUGAGCGGGAAACGGUCUCAGAGAAUAGGUGGCUGCGACUGUUUAUUAAAAACACAGCACUCUGCAAAGUCGAAAGACGACGUAUAGGGUGUGAUGCCUGCCCGGUGCUGGAAGAUUAAUUGAUGGGGUGAGAGCCCUUGAUCGAAGUCCCAGUAAACGGCGGCCGUAACUAUAACGGUCCUAAGGUAGCGAAAUUCCUUGUCGGGUAAGUUCCGACCUGCACGAAUGGCAUAACGAUGGCCACACUGUCUCCUCCCGAGACUCAGUGAAGUUGAAAUGUUUGUGAUGAUGCAAUCUACCCGCGGCUAGACGGAAAGACCCCAUGAACCUUUACUGCAGCUUUGCAUUGAACUGUGAACCGAUUUGUGUAGGAUAGGUGGGAGGCAGAGAAGAGGCCACGCCAGUGGUCUUGGAGCCGACCUUGAAAUACCACCCUGAUUUGUUUGCGGUUCUAACCACGGACAGUGAUCCUGUCUUGGGACCGUGCAUGGUAGGCAGUUUGACUGGGGCGGUCUCCUCCUAAAGGGUAACGGAGGAGUACGAAGGUACGCUAGGUACGGUCGGAAAUCGUGCUGAUAGUGCAAUGGCAAAAGCGUGCUUGACUGCGAGAGCAACAACUCGAGCAGAUGCGAAAGCAGGUCAUAGUGAUCCGGUGGCUCUGAAUGGAAGGGCCAUCGCUCAACGGAUAAAAGGUACUCUGGGGAUAACAGGCUGAUACCGCCCAAGAGUUCAUAUCGACGGCGGUGUUUGGCAC
This 2478-nucleotide ribosomal RNA is filed under the name human gut metagenome. RNAcentral describes it as "bacterial LSU rRNA". It matches the Rfam family "Bacterial large subunit ribosomal RNA", at positions 3 to 2524 of the family's 2925-position model. The record is from RNAcentral.